CUCUAAUAGUUUAUAAAAACAUUGGCCUUGUAAGCCAAAGAUUGAAGCACAGCCGCUUCUUAGAGUU
RNAcentral lists this transfer RNA (67 nucleotides) under Dendrocygna arcuata (wandering whistling-duck). RNAcentral's name for it is "tRNA-Thr". It matches the Rfam family "tRNA". From Rfam's summary of the family: Transfer RNA (tRNA) molecules are approximately 80 nucleotides in length. Their secondary structure includes four short double-helical elements and three loops (D, anti-codon, and T loops). Further hydrogen bonds mediate the characteristic L-shaped molecular structure. tRNAs have two regions of fundamental functional importance: the anti-codon, which is responsible for specific mRNA codon recognition, and the 3' end, to which the tRNAs corresponding amino acid is attached (by aminoacyl-tRNA synthetases). tRNAs cope with the degeneracy of the genetic code in two manners: having more than one tRNA (with a specific anti-codon) for a particular amino acid; and 'wobble' base-pairing, i.e. permitting non-standard base-pairing at the 3rd anti-codon position. The record is from RNAcentral. Lineage: Eukaryota; Metazoa; Chordata; Aves; Anseriformes; Anatidae.